Limulus polyphemus (Atlantic horseshoe crab) is the source of this 1029-nucleotide long non-coding RNA. RefSeq lists it as uncharacterized. The transcript has 3 exons. The record is from RefSeq and is a predicted model, not a curated record. Lineage: Eukaryota; Metazoa; Arthropoda; Merostomata; Xiphosura; Limulidae.
AGUACAAACAAAAGUUAUAAUAGUUGAUAAUCCAAAAAAAUAGAGAAAAAGCAUUUUAAGAUGUACAAUUCAUUCUUGUUUAAACACAUUAACAUUCAGUUGGCCUCAAGAAAUGAUUAAAUUCAAUUUUAAAAACUCCAAUAGUAUUGAUCUGCAGAGAAAAAAGCAACACGGGUGUAGUGAGGUAAUUGUUGUAGUACCAAAAUAAAACUAACUAAUUAAAGUAUUACAAGUCAUCAGGUCAGGAAGUGAAGUCAGAAUCAAGUAUUUCAAGUCAUCAAGUCAAGAGGUGAAGUCAGAAUAAAGUAUUACAAGUCAUCAGAUCAGGAAGUGAAGUCAGAAUAAAGUAUUACAAGUCAUCAAGUCAAGAGGUGAAGUCAGAAUAAAAUAUUACAAGUCAUCAAGUCAAGAGGUGAAGUCAGAAUAAAGUAUUACAAGUCAUCAAGUCAAGAAGUGAAGUCAGAAUAAAGUAUUACAAGUCAAGAAGUGAAGUCAGAAUAAAGUAUUACAAGUCAUCAGGUCAAGAAAUGAAGUCAGAAUAAAAUAUUACAAGUCAUCAAGUGAAGUCAAAAUAGAGUAUUACAAGUCAUCAGGUCAAGAAGUGAAGUCAGAAUAAAGUUGAACAGUCCAUCAGUGUAAGACCUUAUAUGGAUGUGAUGAUUCAUGUUCAGUCAAAGCACCUCUCCAACAUUCUCCCCUAUGCAAAUACUAAUUUUUAUUUUCUUGCUUCCCCACUCUCAAACUGUUGGGGAGAUUGAUGUGAAAAAUUCAAGAAAGUUAAUGUAAUCCUUUUUAAUGUAAGCAUUUGAAGACUUAUGUUAAGCUUACAACACUCAUUUUUUUUGUGCAAAUCUUGGAAGUUUUUACAUAAACCUCAUGGCAGACUUCUUUUGCAUGUAAGUAUUUGAAGCUUUACUUAAACCUUACAAGACACUUUCGCUUUUGUGUGAUUGUGCGUGUGAGCAUUUAAAGAUUUACAAAACCAAAACGUUUUUUUUCAUCGUAUAAACAUACGUAAAUUAAAAUUAA